AGGAUAAACGCUGGCGGCGUGCCUAAUGCAUGCAAGUCGAACGGGAGUGCCUUUGGCAUCGACCGUGGCGGACGGGUGAGGAACACGUAGCUAACCUGCCCAGGUAUGGGGGAUAUGCGCUGGAAACGGCGUGCAAUACCGCAUACGUUCGGGUCACGGGAGUGACUUGAGGAAAGCCCUUCGGGGUGUACCUGGAGGGGCUGCGUCCGAUUAGCUAGUUGGAGUGGUAAGAGCACCCCAAGGUGAUGAUCGGUAGCUGGUCUGAGACGGGCGAGUCGACGCA
RNAcentral lists this ribosomal RNA (283 nucleotides) under uncultured soil bacterium. Its description in RNAcentral is "partial 16S ribosomal RNA". It matches the Rfam family "Bacterial small subunit ribosomal RNA", at positions 26 to 312 of the family's 1533-position model. The record is from RNAcentral.